AAGCAGUAAUUUUUUGCAAAACUUAAGUGCAGUGAAAGUUCAGUCCCCAACUGAAAAAACACACAUUUUCGUCCAGAAAAAAAGUGUGUUGGCUAGCUCUCAGCAGGGAUAGGAAUAAAAGAAAGAAAUAAAGGACAGCAUGCUGGAGAAGCUUACCAAAAACCCUGCUAUUGGUGCUCCCUAAACAGUGAUAAAUGUUACUUCAAGCAAAGAAAAGGCAAAUUAACAUUAUAGUGCUCUCAAUAGAACUAAGCACGUUAUUGCCAAGGCAUCUUCGUUUUUCUACAGGUUUCUCGUCAGCUGUAUGAAUUGUACAAGUCAUGUUAGCAUAGCAGCAGGUAACCAGCCAUACCUUUGCUUCACCUGCUUACAGCCUUAGAGAAUUCAGAGCUUUACAGUUCCUUGCUGGCAAAGGCUUUUUGUCUUAUUGGCACAUUAACUCAGCUUUGGCCUGCCACAUAUUUUAGUCUAACUGACAACAUUCAUAUUGCCAUAAAAUCAGUCAAUAGCCUCUGAUUCUACUAAAGUUGUGCUAAAACAUACAACAUGCUAUUGCAAAGCUUCUGAUCUGCCACUGCCUUUUAGUUAGGCUGCAGAAACUCCCCUUCACAGUCAAAGGUUGCAUAGAAACUUGUGUACAUCCAUUUCCUACACUGGCCUGGAAGCUCCUGCAAGGCAGCUACCUACUGUUUUGCUCUGAGGCUGUAACAUAUGGGAAAGAUGCCUGGCUGCUCUCCAGAACCUAGGCACCUGCAGCAGGUGAAUCACAUUGUAGUGAACCAGCACAGUCUCAAUCAGCAUCAGCUGUUCCAUUAACAGAAAGAAAUUAUCCCAGAGGACUUGCAGCUCCUGGGUAGAAUCUCUGGCUGCACAGGAGAUUGUGGAAAACUAGUGGACUGAGAGGAAAUAUAUACAAGCUUUUCCUGCACUGCUUCUGAAAGGAUCUGUCCUACAAAGCUGUAGAGGAUGAAAGAGAGAGGGCUUUUUUUUUUUCCUUUAAAUUUGUUGCAGGUUUUUUGAAAGGUUAGUCUGUUUAAUUUGAGUGAAAUUUCUCUCAUAGUCAGUUUGUGCUGCCAAAGGAACAAAUGAUUUGGAGGUACAGAAUGGGGCCUGGUAAAUGGUGAAGAACAAAGUAAUAUUGUGAUAGGUUGUUGCAGACUUAAAAGGCACCUGAGGACAGCAUGAAGCAUAUAAUGAAGUCAUAUAACUGUUAGGGAAGCUCACACAAAAGAGCAAGGCAUCUGGGAACUCAGCAGAGUUUUGCUUUGACAAAUGACCUCAUUUACCACCUUGACAAACACUGACUGUACUGACCAAUGUUGCAUACAGCUCUGAUUUAAGCCAUCACUACACAGAAAUUGCCAGUUGCUGCCCGUUUCCUAUGGCUCU
Molecule: long non-coding RNA, 1389 nt
Organism: Pezoporus occidentalis (night parrot)
Lineage: Eukaryota; Metazoa; Chordata; Aves; Psittaciformes; Psittacidae
Exons: 2
Source: RefSeq, a predicted model, not a curated record